This 502-nucleotide ribosomal RNA is filed under the name uncultured bacterium. Its description in RNAcentral is "partial 16S ribosomal RNA". It matches the Rfam family "Bacterial small subunit ribosomal RNA", at positions 30 to 523 of the family's 1533-position model. The record is from RNAcentral.
AUUGAACGCUGGCGGCAUGCUUUACACAUGCAAGUCGAACGGCAGCACGGGUGCUUGCACCUGGUGGCGAGUGGCGAACGGGUGAGUAAUAUAUCGGAACAUGUCCGGAAGUGGGGGAUAACGUACCGAAAGGUACGCUAAUACCGCAUAUGCCCUGAGGGGGAAAGGGGGGGAUCGCAAGACCCCCCGCUUUCGGAGUGGCCGAUAGCGGAUUAGCUAGUAGGUGAGGUAAAGGCUCACCUAGGCGACGAUCCGUGGCUGGUCUGAGAGGACGACCAGCCACACUGGGACUGAGACACGGCCCAGACUCCUACGGGAGGCAGCAGUGGGGAAUUUUGGACAAUGGGCGCAAGCCUGAUCCAGCCAUGCCGCGUGAGUGAAGAAGGCCUUCGGGUUGUAAAGCUCUUUCAGCUGGAAAGAAAUCGUACUUAUUAAUACUAGGUGCGGAUGACGGUACCAGCAGAAGAAGCACCGGCUAACUACGUGCCAGCAGCCGCAGUAA